GAUGAACGCUGGCGGCGUGCCUAAUACAUGCAAGUCGAGCGAACAGACGAGGAGCUUGCUCCUCUGACGUUAGCGGCGGACGGGUGAGUAACACGUGGAUAACCUACCUAUAAGACUGGGAUAACUUCGGGAAACCGGAGCUAAUACCGGAUAAUAUAUUGAACGGCAUGGUUCAAUAGUGAAAGACGGUUUUGCUGUCACUUAUAGAUGGAUCCGCGCCGCAUUAGCUAGUUGGUAAGGUAACGGCUUACCAAGGCGACGAUGCGUAGCCGACCUGAGAGGGUGAUCGGCCACACUGGAACUGAGACACGGUCCAGACUCCUACGGGAGGCAGCAGUAGGGAAUCUUCCGCAAUGGGCGAAAGCCUGACGGAGCAACGCCGCGUGAGUGAUGAAGGUCUUCGGAUCGUAAAACUCUGUUAUUAGGGAAGAACAAAUGUGUAAGUAACUAUGCACGUCUUGACGGUACCUAAUCAGAAAGCCACGGCUAACUACGUG
This 497-nucleotide ribosomal RNA is filed under the name uncultured bacterium. RNAcentral's name for it is "partial 16S ribosomal RNA". It matches the Rfam family "Bacterial small subunit ribosomal RNA", at positions 28 to 507 of the family's 1533-position model. The record is from RNAcentral.